Molecule: ribosomal RNA, 442 nt
Filed under: uncultured Prevotella sp.
Lineage: Bacteria; Pseudomonadati; Bacteroidota; Bacteroidia; Bacteroidales; Prevotellaceae
Description: bacterial SSU rRNA
Rfam family: Bacterial small subunit ribosomal RNA
Source: RNAcentral
UGAGGAAUAUUGGUCAAUGGGCGGAAGCCUGAACCAGCCAAGUAGCGUGAGGGAUGACUGCCCUAUGGGUUGUAAACCUCUUUUAUAAGGGAAUAAAAUACGGGACGUGUCCUGUUUUGCAUGUACCUUAUGAAUAAGGACCGGCUAAUUCCGUGCCAGCAGCCGCGGUAAUACGGAAGGUCCGGGCGUUAUCCGGAUUUAUUGGGUUUAAAGGGAGCGCAGGCGGUCUUAUAAGCGUGACGUGAAAUGCAGCGGCUCAACCUCUGCACUGCAGCGCGAACUGGUCUUCUUGAGUACGCACAACGUGGGCGGAAUUCGUGGUGUAGCGGUGAAAUGCUUAGAUAUCACGAAGAACUCCGAUUGUGAAGGCAGCUCACGGGAGCGCAACUGACGCUGAAGCUCGAAAGUGCGGGUAUCGAACAGGAUUAGAUACCCUGGUAGU